UGCCAGCCGCCGCGGUAAUACGAAGGGGGCUAGCGUUGUUCGGAAUCACUGGGCGUAAAGCGCGCGUAGGCGGACUUUUAAGUCAGGGGUGAAAUCCCGAGGCUCAACCUCGGAACUGCCUUUGAUACUGGAAGUCUUGAGUUCGAGAGAGGUGAGUGGAAUACCGAGUGUAGAGGUGAAAUUCGUAGAUAUUCGGUGGAACACCAGUGGCGAAGGCGGCUCACUGGCUCGAUACUGACGCUGAGGUGCGAAAGCGUGGGGAGCAAACAGGAUUAGAUA
Molecule: ribosomal RNA, 279 nt
Filed under: uncultured bacterium
Lineage: Bacteria
Description: partial 16S ribosomal RNA
Rfam family: Bacterial small subunit ribosomal RNA
Source: RNAcentral